Molecule: ribosomal RNA, 1479 nt
Filed under: Triticum aestivum (bread wheat)
Lineage: Eukaryota; Viridiplantae; Streptophyta; Magnoliopsida; Poales; Poaceae
Description: partial small subunit ribosomal RNA
Source: RNAcentral
AUGCUUGCAUUGCAGAAAUCCAAGCAGUGGAUGACGCUUAGGGCAAAAAAACUGAAGGAAGACAUAUGUACGUUGUUUAAAUCCAGCAAUGACACGGUGGUAAAAAUGUCCUUAGUGGAUAAACUACAACAUCUCGGAAUCGAUCACCUCUUUGAAGACCAGAUUGACACCGCUAUGUGGCAAAUCCUGAAGAGUGAAUUUAGUAACUACAACCUCUAUGAAGUUGCCCUUCAGUUUCGCUUGCUGAGGGAACAUGGAUACUGUGUAUCUCCAGAUGUUUUCAAUUGAUUCAAAAGUGAAGAUGGAAGCUUCAUUAAUGAUAUAACAAAUGAACCCAGGACACUAUUAUGUCUAUACAAUGCAUCUCAUCUUCUAAAUCAUGGUGAGCCAGCACUUGAAGAAGCCAUAGCUUUUGCAAGGCAUCAUCUUGAGUCAUGUAGUGGUAGUUUAAAGACCCCACUUGCUCAACAAGUCCAACGUGCCCUUCAGAUACCAAUGCCAAGGACAAAUAAGAGGGUGGAAAUGCUACAUUAUAUCCUAGAGUACGAACAAGAGGAGCAUAACCCAAUCGUACUGGAGCUUGCCAAAUUGGAUUUCAACCUUCAGCAAAAUGUCCACUUGAAGGAGCUCAAAGCUAUUACCAGGUGGUGGAAGCAUUUUUUCGGAUAUAUCGAGCUAAGCUUUAUCCGCGAUCGUGUGGUGGAGGGUUAUACAUGGGCCUCUGUGUUGUACUAUGACACAAAAUUUGAGCUCACUCGAAGUAUGAUCACAAAGAUGAUUGUACUAAUUACCACAUUAGAUGACAUAUAUGAUAACCAUGCCACCCUAGAGGACAGUUGGAAGCUACAUGAAGCAAUACAAAGAUGGGAUAAGAGCGCCGCUUUUCUCCUGCCGGAGUACUUGAAGAAGUUCUAUAUGGAGAUGCUGAGGACAUUUGAGAAUAUUGAGGCUGAAAUGCUAGCCAAUACGAACUACGAUAUAGCACACCUGAAAAAAGCGGUCCAAAAUAACGUGACUGGUUACCUACAAGAAGCGAAAUGGUCACACAGGAACCACAAGCCAAGCUUUGUAGAUCAGGUCAAGUUGACUAGUCUGAACAUUGGUGUGCCAACGAUAUGUGUGAGUAUGAUGGCUGGAAUGAGUGAUGCAAUGAUGAAGACAGCACUCAAAUGGGCUGCUAGUGUCCCGGAUGUCGUCAUAUCAGUUGGGAAGAUUUCCCGUUUCAUGAAUGAUAUCGGUGCAUUUGAGCGUCGAAAAUGCAAGGGGGAGAUGGCAAGCACUGUAGAGUGUUACAUCAAUGAGUACAACGUGACAAGUGAAGUGGCCAUUACCAAAACUGUUGCCCUGAUAGAACAUGAAUGGAAGACCCUGAACCAAGCUCGCUUUCAAAAUCAUCUCCCUGCAUUGCAGCAGUUCAUUAGCUUAGCGAUUAGCACAACAUUUUUCUAUGGUAACAGAAAUGAUAUAUACACUGGGUGA